GGAAGCUGGCUGAUCACAUUCAAUGGA
This 27-nucleotide non-coding RNA is filed under the name Rattus norvegicus (Norway rat). Lineage: Eukaryota; Metazoa; Chordata; Mammalia; Rodentia; Muridae. The record is from RNAcentral.